This 927-nucleotide long non-coding RNA is filed under the name Anser cygnoides (Swan goose). RNAcentral describes it as "lncRNA (ENSACDG00005001247.1)". Lineage: Eukaryota; Metazoa; Chordata; Aves; Anseriformes; Anatidae. The record is from RNAcentral.
UUCAUAAAUAGCUAGGAAUAGCAGUGCUAAAACAUGCCAGGAAAAAAAUGAUGCUGAUGUUAUCAGGUGUUUAAUGUUCAGAUUGUCAGCUCCAGGGGCAAAACAGUUCUUGCAGCUGAGGAAGACUAGGUGAAUAGCAAAUCAAUAUAUUUUGGAAAUUAUCUUUGUAACCUUUAAGUGAAGUAAUAAAAGGUACUCGUGGGGAAGAAUGAUGAGUCUCAGAUCAAGUGCCUGGCAGCUGAUUGUGUAUGAAAAUUAAUAUACUUUGAAUACAGAUUAGUUCAAGUUUCGUAGCUGAAUUCGUCAAAUCCUAACUUCCAGUGGAUGUAGGUGUAUAAACAUGACACAAAUUUUAGUUUCAUCAAUUUGAAAAGUAUGAUUUGAUGUUGAAAAAAAAUUUUUUGAGGUAUCUCUUCACUUUAGCUAACCACUUUUCUUAAAGUAUGUAUGAGGUACUCUUUUUUUUAAGUGUCUUGAUAAAUACCCAGAACAUUAUGAAUCUGCAAAUUCCCUGCUAUGUAGUUACAGAAAACCCUCUUAUUUCAGAAUCCUAUACAGAAAUAUGGAUGAAGAUACUCAGAAGACACUACAUGUAACACUGCCAGCAGAAGAGUCCAGAAAUGGAUCUGUAAGCUACCUCCUUCAACUGACAAUGACUGUGCGACACUUGGACUCCCAGGAAAAGCCAUCUAGCACAGAUGGGGACAAAGAAAGGAAAAUAAAUGCUACAGUCAGGCUUAUAAAUCUCUUCUGAGACAGGCUUCUAACAUCUCCCUGCUCUCCUUGUGUUUAAGCAUUUGGUGUGACCUCCAAACACACAGACAACAAAAAUACAUUAAAGGUUAAAAUAAGUACAAGAAAAUUGAGAAAACUUCCAUGGAUAUUUAGCAUUGCAAUGAGUGACUGUCUCCUCCGUAUCAUACCACA